This is a long non-coding RNA of Bubalus bubalis (water buffalo), 3320 nucleotides long. RefSeq lists it as uncharacterized. Lineage: Eukaryota; Metazoa; Chordata; Mammalia; Artiodactyla; Bovidae. The transcript has 2 exons. The record is from RefSeq and is a predicted model, not a curated record.
UGAGAAAAUAGAGACUUAGGCAAAGCUUACAGGGCAAACACUUGAGAGAUCUGAACCAGAAGCUGUCUAAGGCCUAUGGCCAGUUUACAGUUUUCAGUGGCCCCAUCCAAACCUGAACCGUCCAGUGCCUCUCUAGGCAGGGGCGUUGGGCAGACAGACAACAUGGCUAUGCCUGGGGCAGAGCUGAGGGUGCACGGUGGUGGGUGUUGCUGAGAGGCCCUGGAUUUCUGAAUAUGCCCAGAGGCAUAAACCAGAGGGUUUGAGAUGGGCCAGGAGGGCACCCUCUUCUCACUCCCCACUCCAUCCCCAACUGUCAGUGUGCACCAAAUUCCAUCAUUCACAAUCCAGUUCCUUUAUAUUUUUCACAUUCAGGGGAAGGGAGACAAUUUCAGCUUAAAAGUGAUAGAGGAAAUAAAAACGGAAAAGUCAACUGGAUUUGGCCACUCUGUAAAAUGACCAGAAAAAUGACCUCACCGAAAGGCAAGCAGCAGCCUUGGAGAAUUUUUUGUAGCAAACAAGCCCAGCCAUGGGGUCCGUCUGUUAUCUUUGCUCUAUAAUGAGCUAGGGCAGCCCAUGAAGAAAGACAGAGAAACCUGAGGGUAAGUGGGCAAAGGACAGGAGCUGACAAUUCACAUUCAAAAGGAAAUACAAAUGCUACAUCACUGCAUGGAAAAAAAUUCAUUCCCACUCAAGACAUAAAAGGCAUGAAAACUUUAAUAACUGCAAUUCUAUUCAAAUUAACAAAUAUUUUAAAGCAUGAAGUUAUUCAAUCUGUUGCUGAAAACUAUAACCGUCUUUAACAGAGCUUUUUUUUUUUUUUUUUGCCUCUUGGAGUGGCAUGCAGGAUCUUUGUUCCCCAACCAGGGAUCAAACCCAUGCCUCCUGCAUUGGGAGCUUGUAGUCUUGACCACUGGACCACCACGGAAGUCCCUGAUAUGCUUUUAAAAGCUCUCCAAAUGUUGCUUGUGCUCAUCCUCACAAUGGCUCCAAUUCACAGAUGAGGAAACUGAGCUGAGAGAGAUCAGGUACACGAUCUUCCCAAUUACGCAGAUGGUGUGUAGUUGAGUAGCAUCACCUGUCAGAUUACACAGCAGGGACACUGAACCACUAGGGCAAUGUUUCCCAAAGUGUGGUCUCAGACCCCCAUCAUCACCUGGGAACUUGCUAGAAAUGCACAACUGAAGCGACUUAGCAGCAGCAGCAGCAGAACUACUGAAUCAGAAACCCUGGGGGUGGGGCCCAGCAGUUUGUUUUAACAAGCCCUCCUUAACAAGCCCUCCAGGGGAUUCUGCUGCAAAGAUUGGAGAAUGAUUGCCCAGGGCUCCGGGUGAGUGUUCAGGAGUGGACCUUGCUUCUGCUGUAGAAGGCAAGUCAUAUUGUUCCAAACUCUUUUGAAAUAUGGAGGGACAGUGAGUAUUCUGAGCCUGAAAAAUGGCCAGUAAUUGCACUUCUGAGAAGCUAUAUGAACAAGAUUUUAUUCAUGAAGCUAUUAAGACAGUGGAUUUAUAAAUGUGUAAAACUGGAAACAAUCUAAGUCUCCAACAAUAGGGGAUUAGGGAUAAAAACCAUGACUCAUCUACUAGAUGGACUGUUGUGCAGUCAUUGAGAAAUGAGUUUGUAAAGAAUAUGUAACAUGGUACAGGGAGGGUGAACAGCUUGUCCUGGUUUGCCCUGGACUUUUCAGUUAUGGUUCUGAGAGUCCUGCGUUCCAGGAAAGCCCUUGGUCCUGACAAAUGAGGACAAUUGGUCAUCCUAAUUAUAAUGGGCAUUAGUGCUGCUAUUCAAGUAUUUCUGUUCUCCUUUCUUGGUAGGCUGGUGGUAGAGGGUAACUCACCGGCUCCUUGAAGUUAGGUGGCUAUGUGAUUUGCUUUGGCCAGUGAAAUGUAGGCAGAAGUGAUAUAAUGUCCAGACAGUACUCUGGAUGGACUGCGUUAGGAUGGCACUGCCCCAGUCUGGGUCCCUGAGUGACUGUGAUAAACAGAGGCCCCUGUCCAACCCCCACUAAGCAUACAGUGUGAGCAAGGCAUAAAGUCUUAUGUGUGAAGGUGCUGAGAUUUAGGGGUUAUUUGUUAUUACAGCAUAACCUACCCUGAGCUGACUGAUACAACUGGGGAAAUAUUGCUUCUGUCGUGUUAAGGACUUUUACAAACUUGUCUAUGCAGUAGAAGCAUUGCAGAGAUGUGACACAUAAAGUGUAUAAGUGUGUUGGAAAUAAUCUGAAAUGUUUAUGAUAUCAGGUUGAAGAAUUCUUGAUCUAAGCUUUUUUCUUCUUGAUCAUUGCAUUUCCCAAUUUUCUCCAAUGAGCAUGCUUUAUUCCUUUUUCAUAGGAGACAUUUUAUUCAAAAUAUAAUUUCCUUGGGUCAAAGCUGGGUCUUUUCUGGGCUCUUGUUUAUUAAAUGAAGAUCUUUUGGAGGAGGCAGGAAGAGAAGAAUGUUAAGUGUUAGUUUCAAAGAAUCAAGGGGACUGUAAAGGUCACAGAGUUAAUCCUCUACUUCUGCUGGAAGCUCCCUGCAGGUUCCUGGGUCCUCCCAGCCUCAACAGCUCAACAAAAACAAGCCGAUCAGAUGCUGCUUCCUGGCCAUGUUACUCUGGGCAAGUCACAGACUCACUGAGCUUCCACAUUCUGAUCUGUUAAAUGGAAAUAAUCCUGUCUACCCUGUGAGCUACCAGAUCAGAUGACAUGAAGGAUGCUCAAUAAAUACUGAGCACCAGCCCGGAACCCGGCACCGGAAGAGCGAGUUCUCUGGAAAUGAGGCCCUGUGGAAUCUGGCUUGUCUCCUGGAGGGAAGUUGGUAGAUUUUAGGCAGAGGAGGCUGUGUUCACAGCUGUCUGGAAGAAGCCAAAUUGGGUAGGAAUGACACUGCCAGACAGGGAGAUGGAGGAAGGGCCCUGACUUGGUGGGGAUCUGUCCUUCCUGGUGAAUGUGGGACCAGAGAGGGUCAGUCACUUGUCUAAGAUCAUGCAGCAAUUUGGGACCAGGCCAGGACUUCGACCCAGAUAUGUCUCACUCUGAAGCUUCAUUCUUCAGCCAUUCUGGAGAAGUCUGGCUGGUAAGGGGGGCAUACAGGGGAUGCUGGCUGGAGGGGCGAGGUCUCUGCUGCCCCCUGAGGACAAUGCUCUCAGGGCACUCUGGGUGAUCCUUCCAUUGCAAAGGACAGGCUCCAGGCUGGCAGAGCCCGGGUGGGAGGAGGCCUGACUUUGAUUCCUUGAUGCUCACACUUUGUGGACCCCUGGGGAAUGCCUGAGUCAUCGCUGAGCUGGCAAACAUAUUUAGCUCUUUUCAUAGUCUCUAAUAAAUCAAUUUCUCCAGGUCUCUCACA